UCGAACGAGAAGUACGUAGCAAUACGUAUUGUAAAGUGGCGCACGGGUGAGUAACACGUGGGUAAUCUGCCCUUGAGUUUGGGAUAACCCCGCGAAAGCGGGGCUAAUACCGAAUAAGACCACGGGGACCAAAGUCCCUGAGGUAAAAGGUGGCCUCUAUUUAUAAGCUAUCACUUGAGGAUGAGCCCGCGGCCCAUUAGCUAGUUGGCAGGGUAACGGCCUACCAAGGCAAUGAUGGGUAGCUGGUCUGAGAGGACGAUCAGCCACACUGGAACUGAGACACGGUCCAGACUCCUACGGGAGGCAGCAGUGGGGAAUAUUGCGCAAUGGGCGAAAGCCUGACGCAGCAACGCCGCGUGGGGGAUGAAGGUUCUCGGAUUGUAAACCCCUUUCGAUCGGAACGAAUCCCCUCCUGGUAAAUAAUCAGGAGGAUCGACGGUACCGAGAGAAGAAGCCACGGCUAACUCUGUGCCAGCAGCCGCGGUAAGACAGAGGUGGCGAGCGUUGUUCGGAUUUAUUGGGCGUAAAGCGAACGCAGGUGGUUUGGUAAGUCAGGGGUGAAAGACCACAGCUUAACUGUGGCAUUGCCUUUGAUACUGCCUUUCUUGAGUAGAGUAGGGGGAAGCGGAAUUCCGAGUGUAGAGGUGAAAUUCGUAGAUAUUCGGAGGAACACCGGUGGCGAAGGCGGCUUCCUGGACUCUAACUGACACUCAUGUUCGAAAGCGUGGGGAGCAAACAGGAUUAGAUACCCUGGUAGUCCACGCCCUAAACGAUGGGCACUA
Molecule: ribosomal RNA, 782 nt
Filed under: uncultured bacterium
Lineage: Bacteria
Description: bacterial SSU rRNA
Rfam family: Bacterial small subunit ribosomal RNA
Source: RNAcentral